Punica granatum (pomegranate) is the source of this 925-nucleotide non-coding RNA. The record is from RefSeq and is a predicted model, not a curated record. NCBI's taxonomy places the organism in Eukaryota, Viridiplantae, Streptophyta, Magnoliopsida, Myrtales, Lythraceae.
UUUUAAAUAUUCCAGGUAGGAAAAGGUGGGUGGAGUGGACUCUGCCUGUGUUACUUAGGGCAUGUUUGGUUCACCGGAUUAGGUCGGGCACGGAUUAACUAAUCCGUAUGGAAUAUAAUUUCGGGCGUUUGGUUCAACGGAUUGCGGAUUGGCUAUUCCGAGUCGGGAGCCAUAUCCGGUUUACACACGGAAUACGGGAGCCGCCCAUCAGGGUCCGGAUUAGCUUAUCCGGAUGCGGAAAUGGAGGCGAAUUGACAAAAAUACCCUCAUCGUCUUUCGUUAAUUACAAUGUAUGCCAUCCUAUAAAAGCCUCACUUUCAGCGAUCGGACAUUUCCCCCUGGAAGAAAAUUGUAAACCCUAGCAGAGCGUGACGACAUCCCGAUUCGAACCUCCCCUGAGAAGCUCCAGCCGAACCUCCCCGAUUCGUGCCAUAGCCCAGGAUUUUGGCUAAUCGGCAAUCAGCUCAGAGGUCGAGGGUGAGAAAGUUGCAGUAUAUAUCGGAGCUCGAACAAAGCGUGACGACAUUUCAGGUGGUACCGAGCCAGAAUAUCGCUUGGAAAUGGUGCAGGAUUUCCUUACGAAUCAAGCACCGCCAUCUAUGUAGACGACGAGCUCGUCGGGAGUGGCGAGUAUCGGCCCAAGAAGGAGAUUGCGAUCAAGUUUCCCUGAAAUUGUGUAGUCCGGUGGUCUUCUAAAUUCUCCUAGACGCAUGUCAGGAUUUUGGUUUUUGGGGUUGAAUACUGCAGCUGCAUUUGUGUUGGCCCGUUUAUUACUAUGCUUGAAUGUUUUCUAAAUUUUUGCGAAUCUUUACAUGGUGUUGGGGCUGGUAGUUGAUUUUGCGUUUUAGAACGUAGUACGCCUCUUUGAACCAAAUCCGCACAUUUCCGAUGCUUUUCAUCUAUACAUUCGAUUUCCUUGAGCAGU